Molecule: non-coding RNA, 22 nt
Filed under: Arabidopsis thaliana (thale cress)
Lineage: Eukaryota; Viridiplantae; Streptophyta; Magnoliopsida; Brassicales; Brassicaceae
Also listed under: 2 other names
Source: RNAcentral
UGAGAAACGGCUACCACAUCCA